Molecule: unclassified non-coding RNA, 155 nt
Filed under: uncultured Sordariomycetes
Lineage: Eukaryota; Fungi; Ascomycota; Sordariomycetes
Description: sequence contains ITS1
Source: RNAcentral
AAGGAGCUUUAAACACUCCCAAACCCUUUGUUAAAUAUAUCUAUAUGUUGCUUCGGCAGGCGGCCCCAGGGCGGGGCUGUAACCUUUAUAGGUGCCUGUCGGGGGUAUUAAACCCGUCAGUUUAUAGUGUCUGAGCCUGUAAAACAAAUGAAUCA